RNAcentral lists this non-coding RNA (28 nucleotides) under Bombyx mori (domestic silkworm). Lineage: Eukaryota; Metazoa; Arthropoda; Insecta; Lepidoptera; Bombycidae. The record is from RNAcentral.
ACCAACUGUGGCCAUAUCGUUGUCCGAC